Molecule: ribosomal RNA, 561 nt
Filed under: Lodderomyces parapsilosis
Lineage: Eukaryota; Fungi; Ascomycota; Pichiomycetes; Serinales; Debaryomycetaceae
Description: Candida parapsilosis partial large subunit ribosomal RNA
Rfam family: Eukaryotic large subunit ribosomal RNA
Source: RNAcentral
CGGCGAGUGAGCGGCAAAGCUCAAUUUGAAUCUGGCGCCUUCGGUGUCCGAGUUGUAAUUUGAAGAUUGUAACCUUGGGGUUGGCUCUUGUCUAUGUUUCUUGGAACAGGACGUCACAGAGGGUGAGAAUCCCGUGCGAUGAGAUGCCCAAUUCUAUGUAAGGUGCUUUCGAAGAGUCGAGUUGUUUGGGAAUGCAGCUCUAAGUGGGUGGUAAAUUCCAUCUAAAGCUAAAUAUUGGCGAGAGACCGAUAGCGAACAAGUACAGUGAUGGAAAGAUGAAAAGAACUUUGAAAAGAGAGUGAAAAAGUACGUGAAAUUGUUGAAAGGGAAGGGUUUGAGAUCAGACUCGAUAUUUUGUGAGCCUUGCCUUCGUGGCGGGGUGACCCGCAGCUUAUCGGGCCAGCAUCGGUUUGGGCGGUAGGAUAAUGGCGUAGGAAUGUGACUUUACUUCGGUGAAGUGUUAUAGCCUGCGUUGAUGCUGCCUGCCUAGACCGAGGACUGCGAUUUUAUCAAGGAUGCUGGCAUAAUGAUCCCAAACCGCCCGUCUUGAACAACGGGACC